Long non-coding RNA from Rhinolophus ferrumequinum (greater horseshoe bat), 363 nucleotides. RefSeq lists it as uncharacterized. NCBI's taxonomy places the organism in Eukaryota, Metazoa, Chordata, Mammalia, Chiroptera, Rhinolophidae. The transcript is spliced from 3 exons. The record is from RefSeq and is a predicted model, not a curated record.
CCGAGGGAAGCACAGGCUAAACCACUGUGCGAGGCAUGGGGAGGGAGCGGAGGUAAUGCCUCCCUCCAGCGAAUAUUUAGCUAUCGUAAGCAUUCAUAUAACAAGGGGGCUGAGAAAGGUUUUUCCCGGCUCCACUCUUAAGCAGUUUCCCUAGGACUGUAGGAAUUGACUGAAGAGGCACAAAGCUAAACCAAUGGACUCUCACGGCAAUGGCUCUGGCCCAGCGGCCUCCUUUGUGUUUGUGCCUCAGAACUUUCGCACUUGCUGAUCCCUCUGUUUGGACCAGUCUUACCCCAGAUUUCUGGAUGGGGUGCCAGAUGGCUCAGUUGGUUAGAGCGUGAGCUCUGAACAACAGGGUUGCUG